RNAcentral lists this ribosomal RNA (113 nucleotides) under Ophidion asiro. RNAcentral's name for it is "partial 16S ribosomal RNA". Lineage: Eukaryota; Metazoa; Chordata; Actinopteri; Ophidiiformes; Ophidiidae. The record is from RNAcentral.
CGCCUAAGAGCUAGCCUAACCUCUAAGUUGAGUAACCCUUUGCACCAACCUUAAAUGAUUACAACACACACCAAACAAACCAUUUUUCCACCUAAGUAUAGGAGAUAGAAAAG